GAUGAACGCUGGCGGCGUGCUUAACACAUGCAAGUCGAGCGAGUGAGUUCUUCGGAACAAUCUAGCGGCGGACGGGUGAGUAACACGUGGGCAACCUGCCUCAUAGAGGGGAAUAGCCUCCCGAAAGGGAGAUUAAUACCGCAUAAAAUUAUCGAGUGGCAUCACAUGAUAAUCAAAGGAGUAAUCCGCUAUGAGAUGGGCCCGCGGCGCGUUAGCUAGUUGGUGAGGUAACGGCUCACCAAGGCGACGAUGCGUAGCCGACCUGAGAGGGUGAUCGGCCACAUUGGGACUGAGACACGGCCCAGACUCCUACGGGAGGCAGCAGUGGGGGAUAUUGCACAAUGGGGGAAACCCUGAUGCAGCAACGCCGCGUGAGUGAUGAAGGUCUUCGGAUUGUAAAGCUCUGUCUUUGGGGACGAUAAUGACGGUACCCAAGGAGGAAGCCACGGCUAACUACGUGCCAGCCGCCGCGGUAA
This 476-nucleotide ribosomal RNA is filed under the name uncultured bacterium. RNAcentral describes it as "partial 16S ribosomal RNA". It matches the Rfam family "Bacterial small subunit ribosomal RNA", at positions 28 to 523 of the family's 1533-position model. The record is from RNAcentral.